Molecule: transfer RNA, 77 nt
Filed under: Chloroflexota bacterium
Lineage: Bacteria; Bacillati; Chloroflexota
Also listed under: 2 other names
Description: Chloroflexi bacterium (cold seep metagenome) tRNA-Trp
Rfam family: tRNA
About the family: Transfer RNA (tRNA) molecules are approximately 80 nucleotides in length.
Source: RNAcentral
AGGAGUGUAGCUCAGUUGGCUAGAGCAGCGGUCUCCAAAACCGCAGGUCGGGGGUUCGAGCCCUCCCACUCCUGCCA